This 3639-nucleotide long non-coding RNA is filed under the name Paramuricea clavata. Lineage: Eukaryota; Metazoa; Cnidaria; Anthozoa; Malacalcyonacea; Plexauridae. The record is from RNAcentral.
UCACAUCAAGACAAAGAGGAUUACAUAAAAAAAAAGAUUACAUCAAAACAAAUCGAAUAAUCAUAGUGUGGAAGAACUUCUGGUAUUCAUUCUCAAGCUUUCCAUGAAACAUAUUAUUAUAAGAAAUUUAUAUGGAAGAAUUUACCACACCAAUGUUUUUACAGACCAAUGUUUUACAAAACAAGUUUCAAUAAAAAAAAAAGAAAAAGUUACUCGGCCUGAAACCGUUUUGUAUUUAAAAUAAAUAAUUGGACAUUUUGAAUUAAUUUUACAUUAUCUUCAUGUCCAAGAUUUUCCGACCCAUGCAAAAGUAUUUCAAUUUUCCGAUUCUCUGAUAAAUUCAUCCACAUAGGAUGGAGCAGCCGCGCAGGAAGUGAGAGCAAUUGUUCACGUUGGGCAGCAAAUCGAGAACAAUAUAAAAAGUAAUGUUUGACAGUUUCCAUUUCACCCCAUCGACAUACACAAAAGGGGGAAUUUGCACAAUUAAUUCUAUAUAGGUGAAAAUUAAGCGCACAGUGACCAAGCCUGAGCCUGGUAUGGAGUAUUGAGCUAUAUCUACUUAGUGAUGCAUUGUAUUUUACGUUAUAUUUUUGUCCACAAUACAUAUUACAUAAGGUAACUUUAAAGGAAGAUAGCGUCUCUAUAUUUCGUAAAUCUGGAUCAAGAUCAUUCCAGGCAGUUAUUGCCGAUGGAAAGAAAGAUUUUUUAAAUCGUUCAGUUCUCACAGGUAUAUUAGUUAAAUUAUCGUUAGAUCUUAGAAAGUAACUGGAUCUUUGGUUUACAUAUGGAGGCAAAAGAUCACAAAGGUAGGAUGGUGCAGUGUGGGUAACAAUUUUAUAAAAAAAGGAUAGCUUAUGAAUAUGUCUCCUGGUUUUCAAAUCCUCCCAACAUAGUUCUUCCAAUAGACGAUUUCUAUUUGUUCCCCUUAUUGCACCAGUAACAAUGCGAGCUGAUUCGUACUGAACUGCUUCUAAAAGAUUUGCUUCCUCUAUACUACAUCCAUCCCAUAUUACAUCUGCAUAUUCCAUUAAGGGUCUAAUCAGACUUUUAUAUAAGCAUAUCAGUGUUGACCUUUUAAGCUUAUAUUUAACCCUUUUUAAUGCGUUCAUUCUUUUACUAGCUUUUUGAUGUAUGCUUAGAAUAUGUUUUGACCAAGAGAAAUUUGACGUAAAUGUUAAACCUAAAUGUGAAUGAGAAUCAACUUCGCGUAAUGCAGUGCCAUUUAAGUAUAAGAUUGGCUGAGGAAGUCGGUUAUGUUUCGUUGAAAAUGUAAUGCUUUCGCACUUAGUAGGAUUCAAUCCCAUCAACCAUUCCAUACACCAUUGGUUAAUGCUAUUGAGAUCCUCGUUUAGUCUAGAAUCAAAGGAUGAUAAAUUAUCAACAAUUUCAAGUAAAGAUGUGUCAUCAGCGUAGAGAAAACAGUCAGAUACAAUAUUGUUGGAAAUAUCAUUUAUGUAUAUUAGAAAAAGCAAUGGCCCGAGCACUGAACCUUGUGGAACACCAGCUUCAACACUCAGCCAGCUCGAGCAUUGCCCCUCAAUGACAACUCUUUGUUUUCUAUCAGACAAAUAACUACAAAACCAGCUUAAAAGUGGGUCUUUUACUCCAAGAGAUUUUAAUUUGUACAAUAAACCCUUAUGCCAUACUUUAUCAAACGCUUUGCUAAAAUCUAAAAACACCAUACGGACUUCUUUACCCAUUUCUAGAGCUUCAUAGAUCUUAUGAACUAUAUACGUAAGUUGGUUCACAGUGCUGUCUCCUGGUCUAAAACCGGACUGAAAAUCAUUAAGGAAUCUAAUUUCUAAUAAAAAUUCAUAUAGUCUAGUGAAUACAAUUUUUUCUGGUAUUUUGGAUAUAGACGGUAAAAGUGAUAUGGGACGAUAGUUCUUUUUAUAUUGAUGAUCAUCUUUUUUAUAGACAGGAGUUACAUUUGCUUUUUUCCAUUCAGUUGGAUACUCUCCUAUUCGGAGACUUGUGUUAAUUAAAUAUGUAAAUGUUUUGGCAAUUCCACGGCUACAUAAUUUAAUAAUUCUAUUGCCAAUACCAUCAUGACCGCUAGCUUUUGUAAUAUCAACUUUAUAGAGGAGAUUAAUCACUUCUUCUUCUGUUGUUUGAACUAUAGACAACGUUUUAUCUGUGUGAUUAGAAUAAUAAUCUAGGACUGGUAGUUCAUGAUAUGUGUCAUCAACGUUCGCUUCACUUACAAAAUAUUCAUUAAAUAAAUCCGCUUUUUUUUGUGCAUCGCAAACAAUCUGAGAUCCCUCCCGUAUAACUGGAAUUGAUACACGGCAAUUAUUAUUAAAAACUGACUUAACAUAACUCCACCAUUUUUUUUGGCCCAAACGAAAAUCUGAUAAUUGGAUAUUUAGUUUGUCAUAAUAUUUUAUUUUUGUUUCUCGAAUCAGAGUUGUCGUGUAAUUCCUUUGAUCUUUAUAUUUCUUCCACAAUAAACGAGUUUUUUUCUUAGAAAAUUGCUUUAAAAUUCUAUUUCUUUUACGAAUUGCACUUCUUACAGCGCAUGUCAUCCAUGGUUUAUCGUUAGGACGUAUUACAACUAUUCUAUUUGGAAUAUGCUUUUUAACUGUUGAGUAAAAAUAGUCAAACCAAUUUUUAUAAACAUCGUCAAUCCGGUUAUUUUCUCUUUCACAAUUUUCCCAAUUAAGAUUUGAAAGUUCCUCAUUAAGCUGUGCUAUAUUGAUAUUGGAGAAAUCCCAAAUGUGUCGUUUAAAGGACUUUUGCUUAUAGUACGGAAUUUUCAUUUUUGUGUAGAUGUAGGAGUGAUCACAAUUCGAUGGUGGACUACAUGUACCCGAAUCAGAAAAAUAUCGUGGACAAUUAGUAAUAACAACAUCUAAUAUUGUAGAUGUAGUUUCUGUUACACGGGUCGGCUCUCUGAUUAUUUGAUACAAUGCAUUGCACUGGAGCCAAUGGUUAAAGUGAUUACCAAAACCAGUGCUUGAUAAAUUAUUACAAUCGUAGUGAGCGUUUAAGUCACCGAUUAUCAUUAUAAACGUGUGUGGGUUUUGACGUAUUUUAUCUAUAAUACUUUGUAAGGAAUCCAAAAAAAUUGAUACAUCUUGCAAAGAGUUAUUUGGCGCUCUAUAACAAACUCCGCAUAGUAAGGUUUGUUUAUGUACUUUUACUUCAACCCAAAGUAAUUCUAGAUUGUUAUUUUCUAAAUCAUUACGUCUCUUAAAUGCUAAUGACUGUGUAAUGUAUAAUGCAACACCACCACCCCGUGUAUUUAGUCUAUCUUUCCUUACAAUAGCAUGAAAACCGGGUAUGCACAGAUCAUCAUUCGAAAUUUGGCUGUUUAGCCAUGUUUCAGUGAUCGCAAACAAUUCAAAAUUUUUUUGCAAGAUAAAAGAAGAAAUUUCCUCAAAUUUUUCUUCAUUCACUAGACUUCUGGCAUUGAUAUGACCAAUGUUAAGACAUGUCAUCAUUGGACCAGGAUUUAGUUCAACAUCACCUGCCAUUAUUAACCGAACCAUUAAGUAGUUAGAAAUCAGAAUGUAAAUGUUGAGUCCAGAAGUAGUUAUCAAUACUAUUGAUAUGCUGAAUCUAGCACGGUUAAAUUUUCUGUUAUGAGAUGUUCCGAUUGCUGCUCUGUGAACCGUUAGACUAAUUGCCAUCACAUAG